CCCAACUGGUACCUGUCGUGCUUUUCCACAGCCCUCUCCUGAUUUCUGCAUCUCACAUAUGGGAUCAAAAAAGGUUCAUCUAGAGGAUUUACAGGAACGCGUUACUGAUGUGUGUGAUUGCUCCACUCUCUGGUCAAGAUCUGCAGGUUUUUCUUCACCUGAGGCCUGAUCCAGCUUCCACUGGAGAAGAUGACAGGAGUAUUUACUCUGAGACAUUUUUGCUGGCUGCUUGUGUUAGAGUUAAGAGUCAAAGACCAGUUCCUCUUACUGGAUCUACAGUGGAAAACGACAAUUGGUUUUCUUUGAACCUUUAAAGAACGAACCUCCCUUGAUUUUCAGUGAGAAGAAACUAAGCAAAUCAUUCUGAUGUUUCUGAACAUGCUUCAGAUGUUACACAAUGGAAUUCACAAAGCAGAGCAAGUGCUUACUCAGAGUAGCCCAGUGAGUAAGUUAUCUAUGGAGGAGACUUGGAUUAAAGGUAAGAUUUCAACACAGGUAUCCUGUCUAAGAGAAGACUGACUUAACUUCCAGGCUCCUGGGGCGUGGGCUUAUAUGGAUCUCGGGAAAAGUUCUUUCUUUGGCCUUUUGAAGAAUGGUAUAAAAAUCUCCCAAGUAUUUAGCCCUUCACAUGACUUCUGUUCUUUUGUUAAUUUUUUUCUUAAAUUCAAAUGAUUCAUUUCAGGUAGAAAGACAGAUUUUGUUCAAGCCAAAGUUUUCUUAGUCAGCUGAUAUCACUGAGAUAUUUUCGUUGUUCUACAAGGUUCUUCUUGAAAUUUUCCACAUGCAAAUUCCUAACAAAAGUUCAUUUUGGCUGUCCAUGUGGACUGUUGGUAGGCAAGUAAAUGUGCUGAAUGGCCCUAGAAAUGGACAGAAUACUUAUUUACACUCCUACAGGUAGUACAGAUUAGAUUACAUUUAGGAUCUGAGUUCGGGUCCCAAAGCCAUUCCACUGGGAAGUCAUUCCCACUUGUCCUGUCGCUAAAAUUCCUGAUGAAGAGCCCCUCUCUGGCUUCCUUGUAGGUCCCUUCAGACACAGGAAGGCUGCUAUGAGGUCUCCAUGCACCAGUCUUCUCUUCUCCAUGCUGAACAGCUCCAAUACUCCAGAAAACUGUUUUUCCUGAGCUGCUGAGAAGCUACGCACCAGUUCUGCUGUCGUGCUCUGCUAUUCUUUGUGCCCUUCAAGAUGUUGGGUCACACCUUUGAUGCUUUGAGCUCUGGCUAGAAGUAAUUAAAAAGAGGGUGAGGAGCAUAUGGCUCUCAUACCAACCCUUGAGUGCGCUUGGAAAACACUCUGCUACGUGCAGUUUGGAAAAGCACUGGACAUCAAGGUGCAAAUCUGUCUGACAAAGAGACGAGCUGACCUGCCAAGGCCUGCAGGAGGCCCAUGGUGUGCCAGCAUUGGACUGGAAUGAGCCAAAGUAAGCAAUGGCCAGAGAAGCUUCUGGGUUUGGACCUGCUGAUUCCUGCAGCAGAACACUUCCUUGAGUAGUACCAAAUUGUUUUGCUGUAACGUAGCGUCUUGUGGUUGGAUUCUUUGGUUUCCUAAAAAGUCAAACCGCAACCGAAACUCCUGCAGCAGUUGGGAUGUUCUUAAAUUCUUACGCUGCAGGGAUUGUCUGCUACCAGUGUCUCCAGGAUUCGCUCUCUUGGCUGGACUUGUCUCAGUGAGAGCACUAACACAGCACUCCCACCUUUUCUCUCUGCCCUUCUGUUUCCAUGACCUUUAAAAAAGUCGAACACCUUAAGAUCCUCUCUCAACAAUGACCAAGUUAAAAGUUUAUUAGGAGGAACUGAGGAACAGACACAAAGAAUUUAUCACCAAAUAAGCCUCACAUAUUACAGAAAUUGCUGGAAACUGGGUGAGAAGAGCUAAGACAUGGAGAUCACUUCUGGGUUUUACCCCUUUACCAUUGUACCCUCUGGGUCUCUGUUGCACAGAGCUGUUAUUUCACUCUCUCUACUGCAGCCUCAAUUCCUCCUGGUGUCUACUCUACCAGUAGUCCUGAGCAACAUCAGGAAACAUUCCUCUCUGCCAUCUCUGCAGAACAGCUUCCAGAGGAAAGGACAGGAGCUGCAAAACCUAGGACCCUGCUCCCCUGCUGUUAGGCAGCUUCUCUUACUCCAGAGAAGCUCCUGAAAACUUUAACUCAGCAAAGGAGGACAGGCUUUGAAAGCAGAAAAUUGAGCAAAUUAGCAGGCAACAACUGAAGUUUCCACCUCUACUCCAAUUCUUACACUGGUUUAUAGUCACUUAGAGCCCUGCAAAGUCGAGAUGGUGUUGAGGAGUACAGAAGAAAUUGGUGUUAGGAUCUUAGCUACUUGGAAUUUUUCUGGUUCUGAGAGAACAGCAGUCUGAUAUCCCCUCAAACAUCAUUUGUGAUGCACCACUUCUGUAGUGUUCAGGAAUAGUGCAUGUCUUUGAUUUGAGUACAAAUUGGCUCUGGGGCAUAAAUAAAGAUUGAGAAGCCAAAGUUUGUGUCAAGAUCUCAGUUUUGAACUCAGUAUCCUUGGAACUGAAUCUGUGCUUUGAUUUAUCACUUUUGUUUCAGCUUGAAUUAUGUUAUAACCAGAACCUGCACGAAUUCCUUCUCAGGUAUUUCUGUUCUUUAUCAUUAUCUUGAUUUGUUUCUAUAGGAUAUUUAAGACAAAGCCCUUCAUGAAAGGAUGAGAAAUCCUCUAUUCACAUUCAGGAGAAAUGUCUGCCACAAUGCUGACUUUUCUGAGUAGACUGCAGGAUUCUGUCAGCCUGCCUAAGCUCAGAAAAAAAGUUUACUUCACUGAACAGUCUUUUUUUAGUGUAAAGAAGAGUGGAACAUUCUUUCAAAAUGAAGAAAAUUUUAAAAAUCCCACCAAAUCAAAGUGCAGUCACAUACUCUACUGAUGAAGAGAGUGUAGGAACCUAUAUUGACUACAAUUGUAUGUAGAGAAAGAAACAACAUUUAACAUAGAACAAACAAACAAAGUAAGUGACAUUUCUUAAAGCUAAAUUUAUGAAUUGCAAAGAGUCAAAAAUGCUUUAAAUCACUGGAACUUGUUUCAGGUACAAAGAAACUAAUUGGGAUUUGAAGUACUAUUUAUUAUGGAGAAGAGUGAUCCCAAAAGCUGAGAGAGUGUCAAAGUUAAAAGUCAUGAAUUUGCCAAGGAAAAACAUGAGUCAAUAUCAAAAAGUUUCCAACUUGACCAUCUGAAAAUAUUUUGGGUUCAAUUCAACAGAUCAAAACAGCUUGUUUGACUUGAACUUUAAAAGAAAUAUACAAAAAAAAUAGAUUUAGAAGUACAAGUUGUUUAAUUGUUUGAAGUGAACAGGUUUUCCUUCCACACAGUUUGAAUUUAAUUUAUUAGAGUUUUCUGAUUCAAAACCAUUUCAUGAAUUUGGGAAGACUGGGUUGUAUGGUGCAUUUAUUGCAAAGUGAGAAUCUCAUCUGGUUGCUGCAAGUCAAUGCAGUCAAUCCUUGACCUGAAGGAUAAUGCCAUUACAGCGGAAUCAUAAGAUCUUACAAUAUUGUCCAAAGGAUCUGAGGGACAAGUAUGUAAAAGCCUUGGAAGUCUAUUUUGUCUGACAAUACAGGCAUCUGAAUUUUGCCUAGAAGGUUAUAUUUCCUGCAGUUUAACGUCACUGACUAGUGGUUUGCAUCUCUGGGAGGAUCUGGCCCUUAAAUGAAAAUAUUCCAAUGCUUUGUGAAAUUAUAUCAUUCAGUGAAAAAAACCCAACAAAUCUUGAUUGUCAGCAUGUGUCACGCAGGAGCUGUUUUUUGGUUUGGUGCCAGUGCACUUUUUCACCAGUUCUGAGAUUGGCAAAUGUAUUACUUCAUGAUAAAUUAAAAAAAAUAAAAUAAAAAUCUCCUCUCCUCCCUCCUA
This is a long non-coding RNA of Pipra filicauda (Wire-tailed manakin), 3858 nucleotides long. RefSeq lists it as uncharacterized. The transcript is spliced from 5 exons. Lineage: Eukaryota; Metazoa; Chordata; Aves; Passeriformes; Pipridae. The record is from RefSeq and is a predicted model, not a curated record.